This 127-nucleotide small RNA is filed under the name Marmota monax (woodchuck). Lineage: Eukaryota; Metazoa; Chordata; Mammalia; Rodentia; Sciuridae. The record is from RNAcentral.
GCCUGGUGUGGUGGCGCACCCCUGUAAUCCCAGUGGCUUGGGAGGCUGAGGCAGGAGGACCGCAAGUUCAAAGCUAGCCUCUGCAAAAAAGCAAGGUGCUGAGCAACUCAGUGAGACCCUGUCUCUA